Molecule: ribosomal RNA, 434 nt
Filed under: uncultured bacterium
Lineage: Bacteria
Description: partial 16S ribosomal RNA
Rfam family: Bacterial small subunit ribosomal RNA
Source: RNAcentral
AGCGAACGCUGGCGGCAGGCCUAACACAUGCAAGUCGAACGAACCUUUCGGGGUUAGUGGCGGACGGGUGAGUAACACGUGGGAACGUGCCUUUAGGCUCGGAAUAACUCAGGGAAACUUGUGCUAAUACCGAAUGUGCCCUUCGGGGGAAAGAUUAAUCGCCUUUAGAGCGGCCCGCGUCGGAUUAGCUAGUUGGUUGAGGUAAUGGCUCACCAAGGCGACGAUCAGUAGCUGGUCUGAGAGGAUGAUCAGCCACAUUGGGACGGAGACACGGCCCAGACUCCUACGGGAGGGAGCAGUGGGGGAUCUUGCGAAAUGGGCGAAGGCAUGACGCAGCCAUGCCGCGUGAAUGAUGAAGGUCUUAGGAUUGUAAAAUUCUUUCACCGGGGACGAUAAUGACGGUACCCAGAGAAGAAGCCCCGGCUAACUUCGUG